GUGUUUUUCCCAACCCAAAAAUUCCAAAAUCAAAAGGCUGGUGCUGGGCGCGGGCAAAGUAGAGCGGUGCGGAGCAAAAUAUUUUGUGCAGUGAAACCCUAAAAAGGAGAAGGGGGAAGAAAAUGAGGCAUAACACCCACCAUCAUCACCAACACCAACACCAAGCAGCAGACAGUUUAGUGAAUCUAUUGACAAAGGCAAAUCACGAUCUUACCCUGGUUCAGCUGAAGCUCGAGAAGGAGUUUCAACAAGUCUAUCCCAAUAACGCAAAUCCUAUGAAACUAUCUAAUAGGAUUAAGAAGAUGCAGGAGGAUCUUACUACAUUGAAAGAGCAGUGCCGCGAGCUUCUUUCUGCCAAACAGGACUUGAUUGAUAAAGCUCGGACAACUCUUGUUGGAAACAGAAGUUUACUACAGAGAAUGCAUACAUCAAUGGGCAAUCCCCUCUCUAGUGUCGAUGAGGACCCUGCAUUUGCUAAUUUCAACCAGAUUGUUGAUGAAUGGACGAUUCAAGUUAGAUCAAGAACAGGGGAUGAGGCG
This 539-nucleotide unclassified non-coding RNA is filed under the name Hevea brasiliensis (rubber tree). Lineage: Eukaryota; Viridiplantae; Streptophyta; Magnoliopsida; Malpighiales; Euphorbiaceae. The record is from RNAcentral.